CCAAAUACAUUUUAUGUGGUUGUCUGUUUUACUUAUGUACAUGACAUACAUAUUUAGUUAGAUAGUUACAUUGGCUAGUAUGCAGUACUGUUGGGUACUACGCACACAUCUAUUGGUACUUUGAACUACCCAGAACACCAACGCAACGAGGCUUUUGCAUGACUCUCGCAAUAUGGAAAUGUGCUCACUUGUGAAAAGAAAAAAACUAGUGAUACAUUUGUUUAUCGCAAAACACUGGCCAACGAGCUCGAAAGUGAGUGAUACAGUUUUGUGCCGAAAAACAGUCGCAAACCAGCUCGCGAGAGUAAAAUCGUCUCGCAAAACGGUCGCUUUCACUGCCGCAAAGUAAACGAGGCGAUAUCAUUGGCUGGGUACAUGAAUGAACACACAUGCGGUGGUACUUGUUCAGCAGAGACGCAAGCAGCGAUAGGAAAAAUACGGACAGCGACUCGGAUCUCGGUCAGCUGAAAUCCCGAAACUUCAAUUGAAUUUUCAUUAUUUUGCAAAGGAAUGAAUAAAGGAAAUCUACAUUAAAAAUGAA
Molecule: long non-coding RNA, 541 nt
Organism: Drosophila persimilis
Lineage: Eukaryota; Metazoa; Arthropoda; Insecta; Diptera; Drosophilidae
Exons: 2
Source: RefSeq, a predicted model, not a curated record